AUACGUAGGUGGCAAGCGUUGUCCGGAUUUAUUGGGCGUAAAGCGAGCGCAGGCGGUCUCUUAAGUCUGAUGUGAAAGCCCCCGGCUCAACCGGGGAGGGUCAUUGGAAACUGGGAGACUUGAGUGCAGAAGAGGAGAGUGGAAUUCCAUGUGUAGCGGUGAAAUGCGUAGAUAUAUGGAGGAACACCAGUGGCGAAGGCGGCUCUCUGGGCUGUAACUGACGCUGAGGCUCGAAAGCGGGGGGAGCAAACAGGAUUAGAUACCCUGGUAGUCCACGCCGUAAACGAUGAGUGCUAAGUGUUGGAGGGUUUCCGCCCUUCAGUGCUGCAGCUAACGCAUUAAGCACUCCGCCUGGGGAGUACGGCCGCAAGGCUGAAACUCAAAGGAAUUGACGGGG
This 397-nucleotide ribosomal RNA is filed under the name uncultured bacterium. RNAcentral's name for it is "partial 16S ribosomal RNA". It matches the Rfam family "Bacterial small subunit ribosomal RNA", at positions 523 to 918 of the family's 1533-position model. The record is from RNAcentral.